This is a long non-coding RNA of Triticum dicoccoides, 2845 nucleotides long. RefSeq lists it as uncharacterized. NCBI's taxonomy places the organism in Eukaryota, Viridiplantae, Streptophyta, Magnoliopsida, Poales, Poaceae. The record is from RefSeq and is a predicted model, not a curated record. The transcript is spliced from 4 exons.
CUCGAUCUCGUCCGCCUGUCGGAGUCAACACCAACGGCGGCGCUGCUUCUCGAGGACCCCGCGGCCGAGCCCCAUCCACUCGCUCCCUGUGCCUUUGCCUCGACGUGCGCCUCCACAAGCCGUCGCUCCCGCCACCGCCUUCCCUACCAUGUGCUCCCCGGGCGACGCCCUCGAAUCCUCUGCGGGCGCCCACCCUCGUGCCGGCCCCAAACCCUGCCAGUAUCCUAACUAGAUGUCCUCUCUAGAACGGGCGGUUAGCGAGGAUGCUGGUGAUGCACGGGGCCUGCUCGAGAAUUUCCAGGUUGAGCUAGUUGCGGUUGUCCCACCGGCAGACCAUCUUGUCAUUGUAGUGCUGCUCUUUGUGAUAGGGCAUGAGCAGGACGUCGGCACGAACCUCGUCCAGACAGCGGCGGAUGGUCUUCAGGAAUCCUGUGGCUGCAGCAUAGGUGCGCAUCUCUCCCUGCGACACAGCCAGACGAAUAAUGUCCUUACCGCUUUAUUUCGUGAGAGGGUAAAAUACAUCUGUACAUUAUUUACAAGCGUAUCAUUUUACCUGUCUCCCAAGUGCGCCCUUACCCAUGAUGGUGAUUACCACUGUGACGAUCUUCCUCUAUAUUCGGGACGAUGGUAGGAGGUGGAUUCACAUACCCCCUGGGCGCCUCUCCACCGCUGCACCCCAUUUCCCUUCCUAAGGUUGUGUUUUAUUUCACAUUGAUCAAUUUGUGGGGAGCAGGCCCAUAUGUAGCAAGGAGCAAGCUGCACAAGAAAUUAAUUGGAACCAAGAUACUCAUCUUUAAUUUAAUAGUAAGGGGUUGAGACUUGGACAAACAAGAACAAGAACAAUUUAUUAUCAAGAUAUCUGCUAUGCAAAUCUACAACGAGAUCGUCAAGGAUCUUCUACGGCCUGACUCUGGCCCCCUUCGCUUGUUAGAUGAUCCCGAGGUUUGCAACAGAAAGGAACCAUCGUGGACAAGUUGGAUGAAGGAAUCGCCAAGGACAGCCAGUAUCUAAGGCAUCUAAUAGCCAUUUGUGAAGGCACUACUACAUAUGCAUGUAUGUAUAUAUAUCCUACCAUAUGAGAAAGAAGAAGGUGGUGCAGUGAUAGUUACCUAAUGACCUUCCAAGUAACUGCAGAACAAAGACAGCUUGGUGAAACUGCACUAAGUGACACAAGUACACAUUCCCACCAAAUCAUUAGGCUGUUUAUAUCUAUAUCCAGACUGUGGAGAGUAUGCUCCAUGAAGCGCCAGGCCGUGUUAUAUCUUUUAUUGCUAGCUUGAAUUUCGUUGACCUUGCUUGAAGCGAGCGUGCUGCACAAACACAUGCUGUUAGUGCAAGGUUGAAAGAAGGCGCCAUAUUAAUCGCAGCUUGUUGACUUUGACUACUUUCAUCCGAAAGCUAAGGUUUAGAUUUCUUCUCAAAAACAAAAUUUCCACUUGUACAUCACAAGAUUGGAUAGAGCUCUCAACAAAUUAAUGGGCACUGCCUCCUAAUGAAUUUCAUGAACUGCAUGAUGAACAUAUUCUUGAUAAGCUACUCUUUUAAGUGAAAAGCUAAGGUUUCGUACUUCCAAUUAUUAUACAAUCUAAAUUGUUGAAGUAUAGGAUGAAAAUAUUCUUGCUAAGCAGAUUUUGUUAUUGUUGCACAAGUAGCUACAUCUUUUCAAAUGCAUAAAAUUGCUAAAAUGUCGUUCACAUUAUGUGAGUCAUACAUAUUGGUUUCUUGAUUUUAGUAGCAAAAUCUGAUGAUAACAUGUUUUAAACUUGCAUUGUAGCUCAGAGAAGAUAAGUUUCAAAUCAUAGGAUCCUCUGAUGACAUUUCUGCCAUACAAGCAAUAAGCUUUGAAGUCCGUAAUGUCAACUAUUGAGUAGCAACUAGGAAGAAUUAAGUGGCAAUGAACCUCUCUGAUAAUGAAAAAUUAUUAUCUGUAACCUUUCCUAUGUUGAUUACUUAUUUACUCUUUGUGAUUUAAGGCUCUUGUAUUAGUGUUUGGGCCGGUACUGGCAGCGCACCUGUGCUAUUAGUUUGAUUGGCUGAUGAUUUUUUUCAGGCUUAUUUCGAAGUUGAAUAUAUUUCCUUGAACGAGCAUCUUGAGUUCUUGACAUGGCUUGUGAGGCAGCUAAUUUUUUUAUAUUGAUCUAUACCCUCCUUCAGAAUAUAAGAUGAUAUCAUAUAUAUUAUGAUGAAUAGACAUUGAAUGGUUUUUUCAAUUGCAGUGGCUAUUGUUUACCUUCCCUGCGGAAGAGGAAUCAUAUGCUUCAGCAAGGCAGGCUUUAUUGUAGAUCAGUUGAUCUUGCCAAUGUUUCUGUCAUAUACUCCCUCCGUUCCAAAAUAUAAGUCUUUUUAGACAUUUCAAAUGGACUAUAACAAAUGGAUGUAUGUAGACAUAUUUUAGAGUGUAGAUUCACUCAUUUCGGUCCAUAUGUAGUCACUUGUUGGAAUCUCUAAAAAGACUUAUAUUUAGGAACGGAGGGAGUAUAUUUAUAUGCUCUAGUUCUUCAAGACUUGCAUUGAUUUCUUCUCCAGAAAUUUGUGUGCUCUUGCUCCUGCAGGAAGGAUUGAUGGAUUUCGCUGCUCUUGGCUUGAUAAAAUUUAGCAUUUCUAGGUUUUAUGUUUACUUUUUCAUGAUACAGUCUCACUAUGUAAUUGCUAAUUAGAAUUUAGAAUCAUAUUCAGUCUAUACAUAUUUAAGGAGAUAUCCAGUUCCAUGAAUGGCGAAGAAUUUCCGGUCAACCACAAGGAUUUCUCAAAAAUGUGAUGUUCAAAUUUGAAGAGUUAAAUUCUUUGCUAGAGCAGAAGGUGCUAGCCUCGGAAGAGGAUAUAAUGUGAUAAAUUUGUGUUAACA